RNAcentral lists this unclassified non-coding RNA (361 nucleotides) under soil metagenome. RNAcentral's name for it is "partial contains 5.8S ribosomal RNA, internal transcribed spacer 2, and large subunit ribosomal RNA". The stretch from base 1 to 120 matches the Rfam family "5.8S ribosomal RNA", at positions 35 to 154 of the family's 154-position model. The record is from RNAcentral.
GAUGAAGAACGCAGCGAAAUGCGAUAAGUAAUGUGAAUUGCAGAAUUCAGUGAAUCAUCGAAUCUUUGAACGCACAUUGCGCCCGGUAGUAAUCUGCCGGGCAUGCCUGUCCGAGCGUCAUUUCAACCCUCGAACCACUAUUCGCGUAGCUGGAUCGGUGUUGGGGCAAUACGGUGGAAUACCCGUAGGCCCCGAAAUGAAGUGGCGGUCCCGCCGCGGCGCCCCCAUGCGUAGUAACAUCUCGUCUCGCAUCGGGUCCCGGCGGAGGCCUGCCGUCAAGCCUAUUUUCUAAUUACAGAUGGUUUGACCUCGGAUCAGGUAGGGUUACCCGCUGAACUUAAGCAUAUCAAUAAGCGGAGGA